AACAAGGCGUACCUGCGGACCUGCGGAAGGAUCAUUACCGAGUUUACAACUCCCAAACCCAUGUGAACAUACCUAUCGUUGCUUCGGCGGGAUCGCCCCGGGCGCCUCGUGUGCCCCGGAUCCGGCGCCCGCCUAGGAACCUUAACUCUUGUUUUAUUUUGGAAUCUUCUGAGUAGUUUUUACAAAUAAAUAAAAACUUUUAACAACGGAUCU
RNAcentral lists this unclassified non-coding RNA (213 nucleotides) under soil metagenome. RNAcentral describes it as "partial contains 5.8S ribosomal RNA, internal transcribed spacer 2, and large subunit ribosomal RNA". The record is from RNAcentral.